GCACUCGUGGCGAAAUGGCAGACGCGCUAGCUUGAGGUGCUAGUGGGGCAACCCAUGGGAGUUCGAGUCUCCCCGAGUGCA
RNAcentral lists this transfer RNA (81 nucleotides) under Verrucomicrobiia bacterium. Its description in RNAcentral is "tRNA-Leu". It matches the Rfam family "tRNA". From Rfam's summary of the family: Transfer RNA (tRNA) molecules are approximately 80 nucleotides in length. Their secondary structure includes four short double-helical elements and three loops (D, anti-codon, and T loops). Further hydrogen bonds mediate the characteristic L-shaped molecular structure. tRNAs have two regions of fundamental functional importance: the anti-codon, which is responsible for specific mRNA codon recognition, and the 3' end, to which the tRNAs corresponding amino acid is attached (by aminoacyl-tRNA synthetases). tRNAs cope with the degeneracy of the genetic code in two manners: having more than one tRNA (with a specific anti-codon) for a particular amino acid; and 'wobble' base-pairing, i.e. permitting non-standard base-pairing at the 3rd anti-codon position. The record is from RNAcentral. Lineage: Bacteria; Pseudomonadati; Verrucomicrobiota; Verrucomicrobiia. RNAcentral also lists the same sequence under 1 other name.